Non-coding RNA from Pangasianodon gigas (Mekong giant catfish), 72 nucleotides. NCBI's taxonomy places the organism in Eukaryota, Metazoa, Chordata, Actinopteri, Siluriformes, Pangasiidae. The record is from the annotation of a GenBank genome assembly.
CCCUAUACUGAUUGAGUACCCUGCUGAUGCAAUACCCUAUACUGAUUCAGUACCCUGCUGAUGCAAUACCCU